Non-coding RNA from Caenorhabditis elegans, 144 nucleotides. The record is from Ensembl. NCBI's taxonomy places the organism in Eukaryota, Metazoa, Nematoda, Chromadorea, Rhabditida, Rhabditidae.
GAAGAAAUAGAAAGAAGCUCCUUCUUCUUCCUCUUCAGAUCGGACAAAAGAGGAGAAAGUGGGCGGAGCAUCCUGAUGCCAGUGGAUGCUCAUUUUCUAUUCAUGAAUGAAGUCCGUCUUUGUCGCCUUUCCGUUGAAAGAAAU